AGCACAGAGCAGUGCCUCUUGAUUGCUGGUUCAGGGGGCAUGACCCUGAGCAUUUGAGGAGAGGAGGCAUGUGGUCAGCUGUUUCAUUUUGGGGCUCUUCCUGGCCCUUAGAAGACCGAGAUGUACCCGACUACACAGAAGACGAAGUUGAAGUCACUCUUCUAGAAACCGCCUGGUGCAGAUGCCAUGGUGACAGAUAUGAAAGGAUGGGCCUUUGAACAUGGCUCAGCUCACCAGACAUGACAUCUGGAGCCGGAUCCUCCUGGCGUCACCUAGACUGGAUGCCCUGAAGACAGACUUUGUGCUCCCUGCAAGGUACCUAGAUUGGAUGCCCUGAAGACAGACUUUGUGCUCCUUGCAAGCUCAUUCCAGUCCCCAGAGCGCCUGGAACCCUUGCCACUGAGAUUCGAGUGAAGAAUGAGAUAAGUCCUAAGAAUGUGGCCGAUUGGGCUGGAGUCCCCUCACAAUCAUAUACUGGAUACCCAG
RNAcentral lists this long non-coding RNA (486 nucleotides) under Mus caroli (Ryukyu mouse). Its description in RNAcentral is "lncRNA (MGP_CAROLIEiJ_G0005854.1)". Lineage: Eukaryota; Metazoa; Chordata; Mammalia; Rodentia; Muridae. The record is from RNAcentral.